GCCGGGGAUGUUGCCAGCAGUGGGCAGGGGCAUUGGGGGGAGGCAUACCCGGCUUCAUCCCGCCGGGUAGGAGCUGGAGGAGGGGUAACUGCCUCUCCCCGGGUGGCAGAUGACCCACAAUUGUGUACAGCCCCUCAGGUGUGAGCUGAACCACAAUUGGGGGCACCUCCUGAGGUGGGAGCUGACCCACUGUUGGGGGCACCUCCUGAGGUGGGAGCGGGCCCACAGUUGCGGGUACACCCUGAGGUGGGAGCUGACCCACAGUUUGGGGCAUUGCCCCAGCUGUCAGCUGAAUCACAUUUUCAGGCUUUGCCCCUGGUGGCACCUGCACUACAGGUGGGGGCAUUGCCCCAGUUGGGAGCUGACCCACAGUUGGGGGCACCACCUGAGGUGGGAGCGGACCCACAGUUUGGGGCAUUGCCUCAGCUGGCAGCUGAAGCACAGUUGGGGGCAUUGCCCCAGGUGGUGGGAGCUGAGCCACCAUGGAGAGCAUCCCCUGUGGUGGGAUCAGAUCCACCAUUGGGACUACCCCCUGAGGUGGGAGCUGACCCCCAUUAUAGGGCAUUGCCCCAAGGGGCAGCUCAACCAUAGUUUGGGGCAUUGCCCCAGGUGGCAGCUGAGCCACAACUGGGGGCAUUGCCCCAGGUGGCAGCUGAAGCACAGUUUGAGGCAUCGCCCCAGGUGGCAGCUGCGCUCCCUGUCCCUGCACACCCGGUACCCCCGGCUGGACAGAGGCCUGAGGCACCAUGGAGGUGACAUUGGGGGCAGGGAUGGGCUGGAAGGAUACGGGCACUGCUCCGCCAAUGGUGGUCUGCAUCGCAGCAGUGGCCGGUGGGGGCACAAAGAUCCAAAUAAAGUUGCGUCGGGUGUCGGAAGCACCGUCAGCGAUGAAGGAAUUCUCUCUGUGGGGAAAUGCCCAAAUGGGCGCCGGGGUGAGAUGUGGGGCACUGGGAUCCCCUGGAGGGCCGCAGUGCCAGGAGCAGGAGGAGCCUGCUGCCUUACCUGCCGUGGCAGCUCGAGAGUGGCAGUGGGGGGUUCCGUGAGCGCUGGGGUCAGCCCCUCUGCCCUGAGCUCACAGUGCCCCUCUGUGACGCUGUCCCGUGGUGUCACAGGCACUGCUCUGUGCCUGCCAUGUCAUCAACUUGCUGUGGCUGCAGCCGUGCUGGUGACAGCAUGGGACGAGUGUGGGGAGCUAUGGCCUCUGCCCAUCUCAUACUCUUCCUCCUGAUGGCCACAACUUGCUAUAAGUUCACUGCUGCUCCGUGGCGAGCACCAGGAGCAGGUGGGUGAGCAAAACGGAGCGGCACGGGGGGCACGAAGUCACUGCAAGGACAGAGCCUUUGGGGCUCCCCCUCCCGUUCUCUUUUCUUCCCCUCUCCAUCCC
RNAcentral lists this long non-coding RNA (1384 nucleotides) under Gallus gallus (chicken). RNAcentral's name for it is "lncRNA (ENSGALG00010020980.1)". Lineage: Eukaryota; Metazoa; Chordata; Aves; Galliformes; Phasianidae. The record is from RNAcentral.